Molecule: ribosomal RNA, 495 nt
Filed under: uncultured bacterium
Lineage: Bacteria
Description: partial 16S ribosomal RNA
Rfam family: Bacterial small subunit ribosomal RNA
Source: RNAcentral
GACGAACGCUGGCGGCGUGCCUAAUACAUGCAAGUCGAACGCUGAAGGAGGAGCUUGCUUCUCUGGAUGAGUUGCGAACGGGUGAGUAACGCGUAGGUAACCUGCCUGGUAGCGGGGGAUAACUAUUGGAAACGAUAGCUAAUACCGCAUAAUAUUGACUAUUGCAUGAUAGUCAGUUGAAAGGUGCAACUGCACCACUACCAGAUGGACCUGCGUUGUAUUAGCUAGUUGGUGGGGUAACGGCUCACCAAGGCGAGGAUACAUAGCCGACCGGAGAGGGUGAUCGGCCACACUGGGACGGAGACACGGCCCAGAGUCCUACAGGAGGCAGCAGGAGGGAAUCGUCGGCAAGGGACGGAAGUCUGACCGAGCAACGCCGCGGGAGGGAAGAAGGUUGUCGGAUCGGAAAGCUCGGUUGUAAGAGAAGAACGAGUGUGAGAGUGGAAAGCUCACACUGUGACGGUAUCUUAACAGAAAGGGACGGCUAACUACGUG